AUUCCAGCUCCAAUAGCGAAUACUAAUUCUGCUGCAGUUAAAAAGCUCGUAGUUGAACCUCUGGUAGGGCGGAUCCGGCCUUUGGGAUGAUUCCCUUUGUUGCUGUGUGUCUUGUCUGGCCAUCUUUUCUCUUUUUGUUUAAAAGGAGGAUCUUUCACUGUAAAAAAAUUAGGGUGUUUCAAGCAAAAGUUAUUUGGAAUAUAUUAGUAUGGGAUGAUAAGAUAAGCUUUAGUUGCUAUUUUGUUGGUUUGCACAAUUAAAGAAUGAUUAACAGGGACAGUUGGGGGUAUUCAUAUUUACAUGUCAGAGGUGAAAUUCUUGGAUUUUGGAAAGAUGAACGACUGCGAAGGCAUUUACCAAGGAUGUUUUCAUUG
Molecule: ribosomal RNA, 374 nt
Filed under: Thraustochytriidae sp.
Lineage: Eukaryota; Bigyra; Thraustochytrida; Thraustochytriidae
Description: Thraustochytriaceae sp. partial small subunit ribosomal RNA
Rfam family: Eukaryotic small subunit ribosomal RNA
Source: RNAcentral